AUGAGUAUCCUAAGCUGGAACUGCCAGGGUUUGAGGCAACCCCGGACAGUUCAAGAACUUGUGGGCUUGGUGCAAGCCCAUCGCCCUGGGAUCGUUUUCCUGUGUGAAACAAGGCAAUGUGAGGAAAAGGUGAAGAGAAUAAAAUGAAGACUAGGUCUGAAGCACUGCCUUACUCAUGAUGGUAAGGGCAAAGGUGUGGGCAUUGCCUUGUACUGGGAUGAAUCAAUA
Molecule: ribosomal RNA, 228 nt
Filed under: Triticum aestivum (bread wheat)
Lineage: Eukaryota; Viridiplantae; Streptophyta; Magnoliopsida; Poales; Poaceae
Description: partial small subunit ribosomal RNA
Source: RNAcentral